RNAcentral lists this ribosomal RNA (468 nucleotides) under uncultured bacterium. Its description in RNAcentral is "partial 16S ribosomal RNA". It matches the Rfam family "Bacterial small subunit ribosomal RNA", at positions 28 to 507 of the family's 1533-position model. The record is from RNAcentral.
GACGAACGCUGGCGGCGUGCUUAACACAUGCAAGUCGAACGGAAAGGCCCUGCUUUUGUGGGGUGCUCGAGUGGCGAACGGGUGAGUAACACGUGAGUAACCUGCCCUUGACUUUGGGAUAACUUCAGGAAACUGGGGCUAAUACCGGAUAGGAGCCCCUCUUCCAGGGUGGGGGUGGGAAAUUUUCGGCGGUUGGGGAUGGACUCGCGGCUUAUCAGCUUGUUGGUGGGGUAGUGGCUUACCAAGGCUUUGACGGGUAGCCGGCCUGAGAGGGUGACCGGCCACAUUGGGACUGAGAUACGGCCCAGACUCCUACGGGAGGCAGCAGUGGGGAAUAUUGCACAAUGGGCGGAAGCCUGAUGCAGCAACGCCGCGUGCGGGAUGACGGCCUUCGGGUUGUAAACCGCUUUCGCCUGUGACGAAGCGUGAGUGACGGUAAUGGGUAAAGAAGCACCGGCUAACUACGUG